AUAUAUUAUAGUUUAAAAUAAAAUAUUAAAUUGCAAAUUUAAUGAUAUUAAAAUAAAUUAAUUAAUAUAUA
This 71-nucleotide transfer RNA is filed under the name Aphaenogaster famelica. RNAcentral describes it as "tRNA-Cys". The record is from RNAcentral. Lineage: Eukaryota; Metazoa; Arthropoda; Insecta; Hymenoptera; Formicidae.